UUAAGCGACUAAGCGUACACGGUGGAUGCCCUGGCAGUCAGAGGCGAUGAAGGACGUGCUAAUCUGCGAUAAGCGUCGGUAAGGUGAUAUGAACCGUUAUAACCGGCGAUUUCCGAAUGGGGAAACCCAGUGUGAUUCGUCACACUAUCAUUAACUGAAUCCAUAGGUUAAUGAGGCGAACCGGGGGAACUGAAACAUCUAAGUACCCCGAGGAAAAGAAAUCAACCGAGAUUCCCCCAGUAGCGGCGAGCGAACGGGGAGGAGCCCAGAGCCUGAAUCAGUGUGUGUGUUAGUGGAAGCGUCUGGAAAGGCGCGCGAUACAGGGUGACAGCCCCGUACACAAAAAUGCACAUGCUGUGAGCUCGAUGAGUAGGGCGGGACACGUGGUAUCCUGUCUGAAUAUGGGGGGACCAUCCUCCAAGGCUAAAUACUCCUGACUGACCGAUAGUGAACCAGUACCGUGAGGGAAAGGCGAAAAGAACCCCGGCGAGGGGAGUGAAAAAGAACCUGAAACCGUGUACGUACAAGCAGUGGGAGCACGCUUAGGCGUGUGACUGCGUACCUUUUGUAUAAUGGGUCAGCGACUUAUAUUCUGUAGCAAGGUUAACCGAAUAGGGGAGCCGAAGGGAAACCGAGUCUUAACUGGGCGUUAAGUUGCAGGGUAUAGACCCGAAACCCGGUGAUCUAGCCAUGGGCAGGUUGAAGGUUGGGUAACACUAACUGGAGGACCGAACCGACUAAUGUUGAAAAAUUAGCGGAUGACUUGUGGCUGGGGGUGAAAGGCCAAUCAAACCGGGAGAUAGCUGGUUCUCCCCGAAAGCUAUUUAGGUAGCGCCUCGUGAAUUCAUCUCCGGGGGUAGAGCACUGUUUCGGCAAGGGGGUCAUCCCGACUUACCAACCCGAUGCAAACUGCGAAUACCGGAGAAUGUUAUCACGGGAGACACACGGCGGGUGCUAACGUCCGUCGUGAAGAGGGAAACAACCCAGACCGCCAGCUAAGGUCCCAAAGUCAUGGUUAAGUGGGAAACGAUGUGGGAAGGCCCAGACAGCCAGGAUGUUGGCUUAGAAGCAGCCAUCAUUUAAAGAAAGCGUAAUAGCUCACUGGUCGAGUCGGCCUGCGCGGAAGAUGUAACGGGGCUAAACCAUGCACCGAAGCUGCGGCAGCGACGCUGAUGCGUUGUUGGGUAGGGGAGCGUUCUGUAAGCCUGCGAAGGUGUGCUGUGAGGCAUGCUGGAGGUAUCAGAAGUGCGAAUGCUGACAUAAGUAACGAUAAAGCGGGUGAAAAGCCCGCUCGCCGGAAGACCAAGGGUUCCUGUCCAACGUUAAUCGGGGCAGGGUGAGUCGACCCCUAAGGCGAGGCCGAAAGGCGUAGUCGAUGGGAAACAGGUUAAUAUUCCUGUACUUGGUGUUACUGCGAAGGGGGGACGGAGAAGGCUAUGUUGGCCGGGCGACGGUUGUCCCGGUUUAAGCGUGUAGGCUGGUUUUCCAGGCAAAUCCGGAAAAUCAAGGCUGAGGCGUGAUGACGAGGCACUACGGUGCUGAAGCAACAAAUGCCCUGCUUCCAGGAAAAGCCUCUAAGCAUCAGGUAACAUCAAAUCGUACCCCAAACCGACACAGGUGGUCAGGUAGAGAAUACCAAGGCGCUUGAGAGAACUCGGGUGAAGGAACUAGGCAAAAUGGUGCCGUAACUUCGGGAGAAGGCACGCUGAUAUGUAGGUGAAGUCCCUCGCGGAUGGAGCUGAAAUCAGUCGAAGAUACCAGCUGGCUGCAACUGUUUAUUAAAAACACAGCACUGUGCAAACACGAAAGUGGACGUAUACGGUGUGACGCCUGCCCGGUGCCGGAAGGUUAAUUGAUGGGGUUAGCGCAAGCGAAGCUCUUGAUCGAAGCCCCGGUAAACGGCGGCCGUAACUAUAACGGUCCUAAGGUAGCGAAAUUCCUUGUCGGGUAAGUUCCGACCUGCACGAAUGGCGUAAUGAUGGCCAGGCUGUCUCCACCCGAGACUCAGUGAAAUUGAACUCGCUGUGAAGAUGCAGUGUACCCGCGGCAAGACGGAAAGACCCCGUGAACCUUUACUAUAGCUUGACACUGAACAUUGAGCCUUGAUGUGUAGGAUAGGUGGGAGGCUUUGAAGUGUGGACGCCAGUCUGCAUGGAGCCGACCUUGAAAUACCACCCUUUAAUGUUUGAUGUUCUAACGUGGACCCGUAAUCCGGGUUGCGGACAGUGUCUGGUGGGUAGUUUGACUGGGGCGGUCUCCUCCUAAAGAGUAACGGAGGAGCACGAAGGUUGGCUAAUCCUGGUCGGACAUCAGGAGGUUAGUGCAAUGGCAUAAGCCAGCUUGACUGCGAGCGUGACGGCGCGAGCAGGUGCGAAAGCAGGUCAUAGUGAUCCGGUGGUUCUGAAUGGAAGGGCCAUCGCUCAACGGAUAAAAGGUACUCCGGGGAUAACAGGCUGAUACCGCCCAAGAGUUCAUAUCGACGGCGGUGUUUGGCACCUCGAUGUCGGCUCAUCACAUCCUGGGGCUGAAGUAGGUCCCAAGGGUAUGGCUGUUCGCCAUUUAAAGUGGUACGCGAGCUGGGUUUAGAACGUCGUGAGACAGUUCGGUCCCUAUCUGCCGUGGGCGCUGGAGAACUGAGGGGGGCUGCUCCUAGUACGAGAGGACCGGAGUGGACGCAUCACUGGUGUUCGGGUUGUCAUGCCAAUGGCACUGCCCGGUAGCUAAAUGCGGAAGAGAUAAGUGCUGAAAGCAUCUAAGCACGAAACUUGCCCCGAGAUGAGUUCUCCCUGACUCCUUGAGAGUCCUGAAGGAACGUUGAAGACGACGACGUUGAUAGGCCGGGUGUGUAAGCGCAGCGAUGCGUUGAGCUAACCGGUACUAAUGAACCGUGAGGCUUAACCUU
Molecule: ribosomal RNA, 2902 nt
Filed under: Escherichia coli
Lineage: Bacteria; Pseudomonadati; Pseudomonadota; Gammaproteobacteria; Enterobacterales; Enterobacteriaceae
Description: bacterial LSU rRNA
Rfam family: Bacterial large subunit ribosomal RNA
Source: RNAcentral